RNAcentral lists this ribosomal RNA (253 nucleotides) under uncultured bacterium. RNAcentral's name for it is "partial 16S ribosomal RNA". It matches the Rfam family "Bacterial small subunit ribosomal RNA", at positions 524 to 776 of the family's 1533-position model. The record is from RNAcentral.
UACGUAGGGUGCAAGCGUUGUCCGGAAUUAUUGGGCGUAAAGAGCUCGUAGGCGGCUUGUCGCGUCGACUGUGAAAUCCCGGGGCUUAACUUCGGGCGUGCAGUCGAUACGGGCUGGCUUGAGUGCGGUAGGGGAGACUGGAAUUCCUGGUGUAGCGGUGAAAUGCGCAGAUAUCAGGAGGAACACCAAUAGCGAAGGCAGCUCGCUGGGACGUUACUGACACUGAGGCGCGAAAGCGUGGGGAGCGAACAGG